Molecule: ribosomal RNA, 279 nt
Filed under: uncultured bacterium
Lineage: Bacteria
Description: partial 16S ribosomal RNA
Rfam family: Bacterial small subunit ribosomal RNA
Source: RNAcentral
UGCCAGCCGCCGCGGUAACACGGGGGGCGCAAGCGUUAUUCGGAAUUAUUGGGCGUAAAGGGCGCGUAGGCGGUCUUGUCCGUCAGGUGUGAAAGCUCGGGGCUCAACCCCGGAAGUGCACUUGAAACAGCAAGACUUGAAUACGGUAGAGGAGAGAGGAAUUCCUGGUGUAGAGGUGAAAUUCGUAGAUAUCAGGAGGAACACCGAUGGCGAAGGCAUCUCUCUGGGCCGAUACUGACGCUGAGACGCGAAAGCGUGGGGAGCAAACAGGAUUAGAAU